Molecule: ribosomal RNA, 443 nt
Filed under: uncultured bacterium
Lineage: Bacteria
Description: partial 16S ribosomal RNA
Rfam family: Bacterial small subunit ribosomal RNA
Source: RNAcentral
CCUACGGGAGGCUGCAGUGGGGAAUAUUGGGCAAUGGGCGCAAGCCUGACCCAGCAACGCCGCGUGAAGGAAGAAGGCUUUCGGGUUGUAAACUUCUUUUCUCAGGGACGAAGAAAGUGACGGUACCUGAGGAAUAAGCCACGGCUAACUACGUGCCAGCAGCCGGGGUACUACGUAGGUGGCAAGCGUUAUUCGGAUUUACUGGGUGUAAAGGGCGUGUAGGCGGGACCGCAAGUCAGAUGUGAAAACCACGGGCUCAACCUGGGGCCUGGAGUUGCAAAUGUAGUUUCUGAGUGCUGGAGAGGCAGACGGAAUUCCUAGUGUAGCGGUGAAAUGCGUAGAUAUUAGGAGGAACACCAGUGGCGAAGGCGGUCUGCUGGACAGCAACUGACGCUGAGGCGCGAAAGCGUGGGGAGCAAACAGGAUUAGAUACCCGGGUAGUC